CCUACGGGAGGCAGCAGUGGGGAAUAUUGGACAAUGGGCGCAAGCCUGAUCCAGCAAUGCCGCGUGUGUGAAGAAGGCCUUCGGGUUGUAAAGCACUUUAGGCAGGGAAGAAAAAAUCGGCGAUAACAUCGCCGAUCUUGACGGUACCUGAGGAAUAAGCACCGGCUAACUCUGUGCCAGCAGCCGCGGUAAUACAGAGGGUGCAAGCGUUAAUCGGAUUUACUGGGCGUAAAGCGUGUGUAGGUGGUUAGAAAAGUCGAUUGUGAAAUCCCUGGGCUCAACCCGGGAACUGCUUUCGAGACUGUUUGACUAGAAUUCGGUAGAGGGAGGCGGAACUCCAGGUGUAGCGGUGAAAUGCGUAGAUAUCUGGAAGAACACCAAUGGCGAAGGCAACCUCCUGGGCCUGAAUUGACACUGAGACACGAAAGCGUGGGGAUCAAACAGGAUUAGAUACCCUGGUAGUCCACGCCGUAAACGAUGAGAACUUGACGUCGGUUUGCUCUGCGAAUCGGUGUCGUAGCUAACGCGAUAAGUUCUCCGCCUGGGGAAGUCGGCCGCAAGGUUGAAACUCAAANAGAGUAGACGCGNGAGACGNGACGACGGACGACGACGAGGGAGGAGG
This 622-nucleotide ribosomal RNA is filed under the name uncultured bacterium. RNAcentral's name for it is "bacterial SSU rRNA". It matches the Rfam family "Bacterial small subunit ribosomal RNA", at positions 338 to 951 of the family's 1533-position model. The record is from RNAcentral.